Long non-coding RNA from Lycium ferocissimum, 687 nucleotides. RefSeq lists it as uncharacterized. The transcript is spliced from 2 exons. Lineage: Eukaryota; Viridiplantae; Streptophyta; Magnoliopsida; Solanales; Solanaceae. The record is from RefSeq and is a predicted model, not a curated record.
CAUAAUCUAGCAAUAGUAAUCUUUUAAGAUAUAACACACAAGUUGAGACGCUUUAUUGAUACAAAACAAACAAAGUAACUUUAUUCCAUAAUUUCCUUAAGCGACCAUUUAAGAAAUUUACUGAAUGGAUAAUACACCAACGAGAAAAACAAUCUAUUGACAAGGCAAAACAAGUAAGUAGAAAAAUUGGAAUAUGACAAAGGAACGAAGUAUUCUAUCGAGAUAAUCGUGAUUCAUCUUCAAAAAUACAUAACUUCUAAUCUAAAAUGAAUUUACCAAUGAUAUCUAAACAAAAUUACUUGACCUUGAAGACUAAAGACUAGUUUCCAAUAUUUUAAACAGUAAUUUAAUUUGAAAUUUGCUACAGCAAGUUAGAUUUUUUUUUUUUUUUUUAACCAAAGUUGCAGAGUACAAAGUUUCUGGCUCGUUGCAACAGGGAACGAGCUGGUGUUGCUACGCCGUAAAGUGAUUUUGGCAGUGAUCACUUUAAGGCAUUGCAACUGUGAAGUGCUGAAGAAUGAUGUGAGGCAGAGCUUUUUGCUUUUUUAGAUAUUGAGCAGUUAAGACACUGUGGAAUUAUCCUUUUUGCUGAGAGACCCGUUUUUUACUUUAAUCAUACACACUAGUAAGCACAGUGGAUGCUCCACUACUAUGGAAUUAUAUUGUGAUAGGCUCAAAGAGUAGUUU